Molecule: ribosomal RNA, 629 nt
Filed under: Cryptococcus sp. ZIM 605
Lineage: Eukaryota; Fungi; Basidiomycota; Tremellomycetes; Tremellales; Cryptococcaceae
Also listed under: 1 other name
Description: eukaryotic LSU rRNA
Rfam family: Eukaryotic large subunit ribosomal RNA
Source: RNAcentral
UAAGCGGAGGAAAAGAAACUAACAAGGAUUCCCUUAGUAACGGCGAGUGAACCGGGAAGAGCUCAAAUUUGAAAUCUGGCGUCCUCCGGGCGUCCGAGUUGUAAUCUAUAGAAGCGUUUUCCGCGCCGGACCGUGUAUAAGUCUCCUGGAACGGAGUAUCAAAGAGGGUGACAAUCCCGUGCUUUACACGAUGACCGGUGCUAUGUGAUACGUUCUCUACGAGUCGAGUUGUUUGGGAAUGCAGCUCAAAACGGGUGGUAAACUCCAUCUAAAGCUAAAUAUUGGUGGGAGACCGAUAGCGAACAAGUACCGUGAGGGAAAGAUGAAAAGCACUUUGGAAAGAGAGUUAAACAGUAUGUGAAAUUGUUGAAAGGGAAACGAUUGAAGUCAGUCGUGUCCAUUGGGUUCAGCCGGUCCUGCCGGUCUACUCCCUUUGGACGGGUCAACAUCAGUUCUGACCGGCGGAUAAUGGCACGAGGAACGUGGCACCCUCCGGGGUGUGUUAUAGCCUCGCGUCGCAUACGCUGGUCGGGACUGAGGAACGCAGCUCGCCUUCAUGGCCGGGGUACGCCCACGUACGAGCUUAGGAUGUUGACAUAAUGGCUUUAAACGACCCGUCUUGAAACACG